RNAcentral lists this ribosomal RNA (1070 nucleotides) under Latilactobacillus curvatus. RNAcentral's name for it is "bacterial SSU rRNA". It matches the Rfam family "Bacterial small subunit ribosomal RNA", at positions 50 to 1095 of the family's 1533-position model. Lineage: Bacteria; Bacillati; Bacillota; Bacilli; Lactobacillales; Lactobacillaceae. The record is from RNAcentral.
AACGCACUCUCGUUAGAUUGAAGAAGCUUGCUUCUGAUUGAUAACAUUUGAGUGAGUGGCGGACGGGUGAGUAACACGUGGGUAACCUGCCCUAAAGUGGGGGAUAACAUUUGGAAACAGAUGCUAAUACCGCAUAAAACCUAGCACCGCAUGGUGCAAGGUUGAAAGAUGGUUUCGGCUAUCACUUUAGGAUGGACCCGCGGUGCAUUAGUUAGUUGGUGAGGUAAAGGCUCACCAAGACCGUGAUGCAUAGCCGACCUGAGAGGGUAAUCGGCCACACUGGGACUGAGACACGGCCCAGACUCCUACGGGAGGCAGCAGUAGGGAAUCUUCCACAAUGGACGAAAGUCUGAUGGAGCAACGCCGCGUGAGUGAAGAAGGUUUUCGGAUCGUAAAACUCUGUUGUUGGAGAAGAACGUAUUUGAUAGUAACUGAUCAGGUAGUGACGGUAUCCAACCAGAAAGCCACGGCUAACUACGUGCCAGCAGCCGCGGUAAUACGUAGGUGGCAAGCGUUGUCCGGAUUUAUUGGGCGUAAAGCGAGCGCAGGCGGUUUCUUAAGUCUGAUGUGAAAGCCUUCGGCUCAACCGAAGAAGUGCAUCGGAAACUGGGAAACUUGAGUGCAGAAGAGGACAGUGGAACUCCAUGUGUAGCGGUGAAAUGCGUAGAUAUAUGGAAGAACACCAGUGGCGAAGGCGGCUGUCUGGUCUGUAACUGACGCUGAGGCUCGAAAGCAUGGGUAGCAAACAGGAUUAGAUACCCUGGUAGUCCAUGCCGUAAACGAUGAGUGCUAGGUGUUGGAGGGUUUCCGCCCUUCAGUGCCGCAGCUAACGCAUUAAGCACUCCGCCUGGGGAGUACGACCGCAAGGUUGAAACUCAAAGGAAUUGACGGGGGCCCGCACAAGCGGUGGAGCAUGUGGUUUAAUUCGAAGCAACGCGAAGAACCUUACCAGGUCUUGACAUCCUUUGACCACUCUAGAGAUAGAGCUUUCCCUUCGGGGACAAAGUGACAGGUGGUGCAUGGUUGUCGUCAGCUCGUGUCGUGAGAUGUUGGGUUAAGUCCCGCAACGA